AUUUAGGAUACAAAAAGACAAGAAGUUCAGGUAAAUGCUUUUAUUUCUUUAAUUCGUUUGGAGGUGGUUCUCAGUAGAGGUAGGGUCCCCUGCAGCCGCAGCCGCAGCUGCCGGCAAUGGACACUCCGCCAGCGGCUGGCACGACGCCUCCGAACUCCACGGCGCCCAUGAUGGGCACCUGUCCGGCGACCAGGGUCCUGCCUUCCACCGGCAGUGUACCGGCGACCGCUACAUCGCCGAUGCCUUCGCCGCCGUAAGCUGCGCCGCAACCGAGACCGAGGCCGUAAACGCCAUCAGCGAGGCCGUAAGCACCGAUACCGCGACCGUAGAUACCGUCAGCGAGGCCGUAAGCGCCGAUACCGCGACCGUAGAUACCGUCAGCGAGGCCGUAAG
Maniola jurtina (meadow brown) is the source of this 393-nucleotide long non-coding RNA. RefSeq lists it as uncharacterized. The record is from RefSeq and is a predicted model, not a curated record. The transcript has 2 exons. NCBI's taxonomy places the organism in Eukaryota, Metazoa, Arthropoda, Insecta, Lepidoptera, Nymphalidae.